UGCCGUGAAUAUCAUUGUUGCUUGUGGUUUUGAGAUUCGGCCAUUUUAGUUCCUUGUGAGAAUUAUUGCCGUGAGCUCCUUGUGUGUGUGGAAGACUUGUUACCGUGAGUUUGGGUGGCUUGCCUUUGAGUGGUGACCGUGACCAUCCUAGUAACUUGAGUGGGAGAUUUUGGGGUUGCUUGGUGGUUGGAGAUUGCGGUUGGCCCUUGUAGUUCCCUUGGGGAAUUAUUGCCGUGAGGUUCA
RNAcentral lists this unclassified non-coding RNA (243 nucleotides) under Hevea brasiliensis (rubber tree). The record is from RNAcentral. Lineage: Eukaryota; Viridiplantae; Streptophyta; Magnoliopsida; Malpighiales; Euphorbiaceae.